Molecule: ribosomal RNA, 1950 nt
Filed under: Capsicum annuum
Lineage: Eukaryota; Viridiplantae; Streptophyta; Magnoliopsida; Solanales; Solanaceae
Description: eukaryotic LSU rRNA
Rfam family: Eukaryotic large subunit ribosomal RNA
Source: RNAcentral
UUCUGAGAAGGGUUCAAGUGUGAGCAUACCUAUCGAGACCCGAAAGUUGGUGAAAUAUGCCUGAGCGAGGCAAAGCCAUAGGAAACUCUGGUGGAGGACCGCAGCGAUACUGACAUGCAAAUCAUUCGUAUGACUCUCUUUGUCGAGCCGUGCCACAAAAUCAAGAGCUCCAAGUGGGCCAUUUUUGGUAAGCAGAACUGGCUAUGCGGGAUAAAUCAAAAGUCGGGUUACGGUGCCAAACUACACGCUAACCUAGAUCCCGCAAAGGGUGUUGGUCGAUUAAGACAGCACAACGGUGGUCAUGGAAGUCAAAAUCUGCUAAGGAGUGUGUAACAACUCACCUACCGAAUUAACUAGCCCCGAAAAUGAAUGGCGCUUAAGCGCGUGACCUACACCCGACGUCGGGGAAAGUUCCAGGCCCCGAUAAGUAGGAGGGCGCAAUGGUCGCUACAAAACCUUGGGCGCGAGCCCAGGAAGAGCGACGUUCGGUGCAGAUAUUGGGGGUAGUAGUAAAUAUUCAAAUGAGAACUUUGAUGGCCGUUGAGAGGAAAGGUUCCAUGUGAACAACACUUGCACAUGGGUUAGUCGAUCCUAAGGGUCAGGGGAACCACGACAGAUAGCGCGUUUUGUGCGUACUCCAAAAGAGAAUAGGGUUUAAAUUCCUGGACUGGGAUGUGGCGGUCGAAGGCAAUGUUAGAAUGUCUGGUGACGUAGGCGGGAGCCUUAGGAAGAGUAAUCUUUUCUGUUUUACAGCCUGCCCACCCUGGAAUUGGCUAAUCCGGAAGUAAGGUCCAGCAGCUGGAAGAGCAUCGCACGUCGCGCGGUGUUUGGUGCACUACCAGCGUCCUUUGAAAAUCCAGAGGACCGAUUGCCGUCCAUGCUAGGUCGUACUCAUAAUCACAUCAGGUCUCAAAGGGGAACAUCCUCUGAUUGAUGGAACAAUAUAAGCAAGGAAAGUCAACAAAAUGGAUCCAUAACUUCUGGAAAAGGAUUGGCACUAAGGGCUGGGCACGGGGGUCCCAAUCCCGAACCCGUCGACUGUCGGUGGACUACUCGAGCUGCUUCCACAGUGAGAGCGGGUCGCCACGUGCCAGUUGGGGGAUAGACUAGGAACGGUUCCUUCGGGGGCCUUCCCCGCGCGUCGAACAUCCAACUCAGAACUGGUACGGAUAAGGAGAAUCCGAAUGUUUAAUUAAACAAAGCAUUGCGAUGGUCCUAACGGAUGUUCACGCAUUGUGAUUUUUGCUCAGUGCUCUUAAUGUCAAAGUGAAUAAAUUUAACUAAGCAUGGGUAAACGGCGGGAGUAACUAUGACUCUCUUAAGGUAGCCAAAUGCCUCAUAAUCUAAUUAGUGACGCGCAUGAAUGGUUUAAAGAGAUUCCCACUAUCCCUGUCUACUAUCCAGCGAAGCCACAACCAAGGGAAUGGGCUUGGCAGAAUCAGCGGGGAAAGAAGAACCUCUUGAGAUUGACUCUACUCUGACUUUGUAAAAUGACUUGAGAUGUGUAGUAUAAGUGGGAGCCGAAAGGCGAAAGUUAAAUACCACUACUUUUAAUGUUAUUUUACUUAUUCCAUGAAUCGGAAGCGGGGCACUACCCCUCUUUUUGGACCCAAGGCUCGCUCUGCGGGUCAAUCUAGGCAGAAGACAUUGUUAGGUGGGGAUUUUGGUUGGGGCGGCAUAUCUGUUAAAAGAUAACGCAGGUGUUCUAAGAUGAGCUCAACGAGAACAGAAAAUCAUGUGGAACAGAAAGGUAAAAGCUCAUUUGAUUUUGAUUUCCAGUAUGAAUACGAACCAUUAAAGUGUGGCCUAGCGAUCCUUUAGACCUUCGAAAUUUGAAGUUAGAGGUGUUAGAAAAGUGUUACCAUAGGGAUAACUGGCAUGUUGCAGCUAAGCGUUCAUAGCGAAGUUGCUUUUUCAUCCUUUGAUGUCGGCUCUUCCUAUCAUUGUGAA